CUCUUAACUAUACACGAAUCGGGUGCAAGCUACGUAGGUGGGCUCCGAUUUGAAUUGUGUCAAUCAGCUAGUGGCACCUUUUUUUUUCGGCCGGGGACCAAACCUACGAGGACCCCGCGCCUAGGGGGCGCACGUGGUAUGUGGGACUCAACGAUCUGCAGACAGCGAGCCCAAGGAAUUUUAGGGCCCACACACUAAACGACUCCCCUGCACUCUUCGCCCAAGCGCUCGAUCCCCUCCGAGGUCAGAACCCGGAUGAGGUAGGGGGGUUACCGCGGUCAGCUAGCGGCACCUGAAAAGAUUCUCCAAAGAUCCGGUAGUAGAUUCGUUCGCGAAGCAGCUGCUCUUGAGUUGUUAGGUCUCCUUUGGAGGCGCUCGGGUAGCUGUUAGCAAAUCCCACCCCUCCUGGCUGAACCCUUGCUCGCCCACCUGCCCUGGUAAAACUGGAUAAGGCGGGCCAUCAGUAAUCACUCAAACAUAAAAAAAAGGUUCUACAGAAAUACCGUGUUUUGAGCUUCAACUUCAAAAUAGGUGAUAUAGAGAACCAUUCAAAGCAUUCUGCUCGCUUCGUAUUAUUUACUUAAAAAAUACAAACAUAAACUGUGGUACCUAUUACAUGCCAUAUCUACAUCAUUAAAUUUCCGUGUAGAGCGAGAGCUCACAACAGUUUUCUAGUAAAAAGCGCAAAUAAAAAUUACAUUGCUGCAUUAUUGCACGCGUCAAGUCAUUGCUCCUAUCGCCGCACGGCAUUGAAUCACGAAACCCACACCCUAUCGCGAACAUUACUGGCAACUAAUUGAAAAAAAAAACAAUAAGAAUUGUUUUUUCAAAAAGUGAAAAGCGUUGCCAAAGAAACCAGAAUUCUUCUUUCCUUUUGCGGGCCUACUGGAAGAGAUUUCAACAUGAAAUAAGUAAUGCCUUUGUACUCUGUAUCCUUAUUGUCGUGUCUCUUCUAACAGCUGUGUGUACAAAAUAUAUUAAAUAAAAUAAAUAAAUAAAAAAACUUCGUGUAUUUUUGAAAAAUCUGAAAUAAAUUAUUAAUCUACUUUUCGAUUCAGAAAACUUUUGUUCGAUAAAAUGGUCGAAAACGCCACUAAUAGUUCAAGUCGCCGUGUCAUUUAUGAUAAUCAAAAUCGUAAUAUAUUAUAAAGAUAAUAAAAUAAUACUUACUCUGCACUACCUUUGGUUGACUGAUAGAGCCUUAGGUAUUAAGUUCGCCAAUGUAAAUAUUACAUGAAGUGUAAGAAAUAAAUAAAUAAAUAACUGACAAUUC
Molecule: long non-coding RNA, 1273 nt
Organism: Bombyx mori (domestic silkworm)
Lineage: Eukaryota; Metazoa; Arthropoda; Insecta; Lepidoptera; Bombycidae
Exons: 2
Source: RefSeq, a predicted model, not a curated record